AUCUGGUUGAUCCUGCCAGUUGUCAUAUGCUUGUCUCAAAGAUUAAGCCAUGCAUGUCUAAGUAUAAGCAAUCUAUACUGUGAAACUGCGAACGGCUCAUUAAAUCAGUUAUAGUUUAUUUGAUGGUACCUUACUACAUGGAUAUCUGUGGUAAUUCUAGAGCUAAUACAUGCCUAAAAAAGCCCUCACGGGGGUGUAUUUAUUAGAUUAAAGACCGUUCCUGCAAAGGAUUUGGUGAAUCAUGAUAACUGCUCGAAGCUCAUGGCCUUGUGCCGGAGCUGCUUCAUUCAAAUACCUGCCCUAUCAGCUUUCGAUGGUACGGUAGUGCCUACCAUGCGUUAACGGGUAACGGGGAAUUAGGGUUCGAUUCCGGAGAGAGAGCCUGAGAAACGGCUCUCAUAACUAAGGUUAGCAGCAGGCGCGCAAAUUAUCCACUUCCGACACGGAGAGAUAGUGACAAUAAAUAACAAUAGAGGCUCUUUGGGUCUCCUAAUUGGAAUGAGUACAAUCUAAAUCCCUUAACGGGGAUCAAUUGGAGGGCAAGUCUGGUGCCAGCAGCCGCGGUAAUUCCAGCUCCAAUAGCGUAUAUUAAAUUUGUUGACGUUAAAAAGCUCGUAGUCGACUUUCGCCCUAGCUGGCCGGUCCGCUUUUUUUGAGUGUGUACUGGACCCAGCUGGGGCUUUACCUCCUGGUGAACUGGCAUGUUCUUUAUUGGGCGUGCCAGGGAACCCGGAAUUUUACUUUGAAUAAAUCAGAGUGUUCAAAGCAGGCAUGUUUGCCCGAAUGUUACAGCAUGGAAUAAUAGAAUAGGAUGUGUGCCUCUAUUGGUCUUUUAGAGGCACCUUAAUGAGAAAUAGGGGCGGCUCGGGGGCAUUUGUAUUCAAUUGCUAGAGGUGAAAUUCUUGGAUUUAUUGAAGACAAACUACUGCGAAAGCAUUUGCCAAGGACGCUUUCAUUGAUCAAGAACGAAGGUCGGGGGAUCGAAACCGAUUAGAUACCGUUGUAGUCUCGACAGUAAACUAUGCCGAUGGCCGAUUGCCGAGGGUUUUUUUAAUGACCCCGUCAGCAGCCAAAGAGAAAUCUUGAAUUAGGUCCGUGGGGAGUAUGGUCACAAGGCUGAAACUUAAAGGAAUUGACGGAAGGGCACCACCAGGAGUGGACAUGCGGCUUAAUUUGACUCAACACGGGGAAACUCACCAGGUCCAGACACAAAAAGGAUUGACAGAUUGAUAGCUCUUUCUUGAUCUUGUGGUUGGUGGUGCAUGGCCGUUCUUAGUUGGUGGAGUGAUUGUCUGCUUAAUUGCGAUAACGAACGAGACCUUAACCUGCUAAAUAGCCCGGCCGGCUUUGGCUGGUCGCUGGCUUCUUAGAGGGACUUUCAGCUUUUAGCUGAAGGAAGUUUGAGGCAAUAACAGGUCUGUGAUGCCCUUAGAUGUUCUGGGGCCGCACGCGCGCUACACUGACAGAGACAGCGAGUUUUUUUCCUUGGCCGGAAGGUCUGGGUAAUCCUGUGAAACUUUGUCGUGAUGGGGAUAGAGCAUUGCAAUUAUUGCUCUUCAACGAGGAAUUCCUUGUAAGCGCAAGUCAUCAGCUUCCGUUGACUAUGUCCCUGCCCUUUGUACACACCGCCCGUCGCUACUACCGAUUGAAUGGCUUAGUGAGGUCUUCGGAUUGGCGCUUGGGAGCUGGCAACGGCACCCGAAUGCUGAAAAGUUGCACGAACUUGGUCAUUUAGAGGAAGUAAAAGUCGUAACAAGGUCUCCGUA
This 1766-nucleotide ribosomal RNA is filed under the name Ballistosporomyces sasicola. RNAcentral's name for it is "SSU rRNA". It matches the Rfam family "Eukaryotic small subunit ribosomal RNA". The record is from RNAcentral. Lineage: Eukaryota; Fungi; Basidiomycota; Agaricostilbomycetes; Agaricostilbales; Chionosphaeraceae.